Molecule: ribosomal RNA, 578 nt
Filed under: Saccharomyces cerevisiae (brewer's yeast)
Lineage: Eukaryota; Fungi; Ascomycota; Saccharomycetes; Saccharomycetales; Saccharomycetaceae
Description: partial large subunit ribosomal RNA
Rfam family: Eukaryotic large subunit ribosomal RNA
Source: RNAcentral
UCUUUAGUAACGGCGAGUGAAGCGGCAAAAGCUCAAAUUUGAAAUCUGGUACCUUCGGUGCCCGAGUUGUAAUUUGGAGAGGGCAACUUUGGGGCCGUUCCUUGUCUAUGUUCCUUGGAACAGGACGUCAUAGAGGGUGAGAAUCCCGUGUGGCGAGGAGUGCGGUUCUUUGUAAAGUGCCUUCGAAGAGUCGAGUUGUUUGGGAAUGCAGCUCUAAGUGGGUGGUAAAUUCCAUCUAAAGCUAAAUAUUGGCGAGAGACCGAUAGCGAACAAGUACAGUGAUGGAAAGAUGAAAAGAACUUUGAAAAGAGAGUGAAAAAGUACGUGAAAUUGUUGAAAGGGAAGGGCAUUUGAUCAGACAUGGUGUUUUGUGCCCUCUGCUCCUUGUGGGUAGGGGAAUCUCGCAUUUCACUGGGCCAGCAUCAGUUUUGGUGGCAGGAUAAAUCCAUAGGAAUGUAGCUUGCCUCGGUAAGUAUUAUAGCCUGUGGGAAUACUGCCAGCUGGGACUGAGGACUGCGACGUAAGUCAAGGAUGCUGGCAUAAUGGUUAUAUGCCGCCCGUCUUGAAACCCGAAAACA